RNAcentral lists this small RNA (1243 nucleotides) under Pongo abelii (Sumatran orangutan). RNAcentral's name for it is "retained intron". The record is from RNAcentral. Lineage: Eukaryota; Metazoa; Chordata; Mammalia; Primates; Hominidae.
UUUUAUUUUUCUUUAGAAUGUUUUCUGGUAAUUUAUGCUUUUAGAUUUCUGUUUUCAAGAAAAUACUGGGGAUUUGUCUGUUGAGAAAGGAAUUUCUUCAAGAUGUUUCAUCUUGACCUGAACUUUCUGCAUUCCUGAGCUAAUCUGUGUCCUGCACUUUAGAUUAAGGCUAAUUUCAGAAGUUCAGUGACAUAAAAUAUUGUUACACCUUAAAAUCUAAUUGGCAUCACCAAUUUUUGAUUCAGUAGUACCAGGCAGUGAAAUUAAGAAUCUAAAAAAUUAAAAUAUUUUCUAAAUAUUUUAAAAUUUCUGUUAUAAAUUAGUGUAUUAGAAUAAAUUUUUUAGCAUAUUCUAUUAUAUCCUCUUUACUGAGCACAUUACUAAGUUGGUAAUUGGAGAAUAUAAGCAAGAUUCAUUUAGUUAUUUUUAAUAAAACAGGUAUUGCUGUCUCUAAGCCAGACCUGAUCACCUCUCUGGAGCAAGGGAAAGAGCCCUGGAAUAUGAAGCGACAUGAGAUGGUGGAUGAACCCUCAGGUAGGUGAGAGUGAAUACAACAGGUGACAUGGAUGAAAGGUCCAAAGUCAAGAAGAAAGCCACUCUUUAAAGUGAUUUAGGAAGCUGUGUUCCAAAGGAAAUAGUUUCUGGGAAGCCUGAAUUUUUUUUUUAAAUUAUACUCUCACAUAGGGCCAUCUUCUGCUUAUACCUAUAAAAUCUAAGAAUUCUACUUUCCCUUCAAUGAUCUUCCUUCAAGUUUACAGUGACAGCCAAAGUACUGUUCAUGGCAUACAAAAGAGUGUACAAUUUGACUUCUUUUUUCUUGUUUUGUGGACAGACAGAUCUAUCUCCAUAAUUUUGAGAUACUCUGUGUUAAACUAUUUUUUAAGUUCUCUUUUUGCAUCAUGUCUGAAAUGUGUGAGAGUAGUAGUUUCUGUUCUAUUGGGUUUUUUCUUUUUGGUUUAUUUUUCUGCACAUUUCAUCCUGUUUUCAUUACUAUAGUCUUGAAAUAUAGUUUGAAAGUAUAAAGUAGGAUGUCCUUCUGCUUUGUUCUUUUUCCUCAAGAUUGCUUUGGCUAUUCAAAGUUUAUUGUAGUUUCAUGUACAUUUUAGGACUGCAUUUUUCAUUACUGUGAAGAAAAACACUGGAAUUUUGAUAAGGAGUUCAUUGAAUCUACAGGUCACUUUGGAUAAAAUGGCAGUUUCAUAAUGCUUAUUCUUUCAAUAGAAAUAAAACAUUUUAAAAUUUA